CCUACGGGAGGCAGCAGUGGGGAAUUUUGGACAAUGGGCGCAAGCCUGAUCCAGCAAUGCCGCGUGAGUGAAGAAGGCCUUCGGGUUGUAAAGCUCUUUUGUCAGGGAAGAAACGGCUGAGGUUAAUACCUUCGGCUAAUGACGGUACCUGAAGAAUAAGCACCGGCUAACUACGUGCCAGCAGCCGCGGUAAUACGUAGGGUGCAAGCGUUAAUCGGAAUUACUGGGCGUAAAGCGUGCGCAGGCGGUUUUGUAAGUCUGACGUGAAAUCCCCGGGCUCAACCUGGGAAUUGCGUUGGAGACUGCAAGGCUGGAGUCUGGCAGAGGGGGGUAGAAUUCCACGUGUAGCAGUGAAAUGCGUAGAGAUGUGGAGGAACACCGAUGGCGAAGGCAGCCCCCUGGGUCAAGACUGACGCUCAUGCACGAAAGCGUGGGGAGCAAACAGGAUUAGAUACCCUGGUAGUCCACGCCCUAAACGAUGUCUACUAGUUGUCGGGUCUUAAUUGACUUGGUAACGCAGCUAACGCGUGAAGUAGACCGCCUGGGGAGUACGGUCGCAAGAUUAAAACUCAAAUUGAAUUGACGGNNGAGAGNGCGAGACGACGACGAGGAGGAGG
This 617-nucleotide ribosomal RNA is filed under the name uncultured bacterium. RNAcentral's name for it is "bacterial SSU rRNA". It matches the Rfam family "Bacterial small subunit ribosomal RNA", at positions 338 to 947 of the family's 1533-position model. The record is from RNAcentral.